RNAcentral lists this ribosomal RNA (253 nucleotides) under uncultured bacterium. Its description in RNAcentral is "partial 16S ribosomal RNA". It matches the Rfam family "Bacterial small subunit ribosomal RNA", at positions 524 to 776 of the family's 1533-position model. The record is from RNAcentral.
UACGAAGGGGGCUAGCGUUGCUCGGAAUCACUGGGCGUAAAGGGUGCGUAGGCGGGUCUUUAAGUCCGGGGUGAAAUCCUGGAGCUCAACUCCAGAACUGCCUUUGAUACUGAAGAUCUUGAGUUCGGGAGAGGUGAGUGGAACUGCGAGUGUAGAGGUGAAAUUCGUAGAUAUUCGCAAGAACACCAGUGGCGAAGGCGACUCACUGGCCCGAUACUGACGCUGAGGCACGAAAGCGUGGGGAGCAAACAGG